GACGAACGCUGGCGGCGUGCUUAACACAUGCAAGUCGAACGGAAAGGCCCUGCUUGUGUGGGGUGCUCGAGUGGCGAACGGGUGAGUAACACGUGAGUAACCUGCCCUUUACUUUGGGAUAACUUCAGGAAACUUGGUCUAAUACCGGAUAGGAGCUCCUGCUUCAUGGUGGGGGUUGGAAAGUUUGGGCGGUUGGGGAUGUACUCGCGGCUUAGCGGCAUGUUGGUGGGGUAGUGGCUUACCAAGGCUUUGAAGGGUAGCCGGCCUGAGGGGGUGACCGGCCAAAUUGGGAAUGAGAUCACGGCCAGACUCCUACGGGAGGCAGCAGUGGGGAAUAUUGCACCAUGGGAGGAAGCCUGAUGCAGCAACGCCGCGUGCGGGAUGACGGCCUUCGGGUUGUAAACCGCUUUCGCCUGUGACGAAGCGUGAGUGACGGUAAUGGGUAAAGAAGCACCGGCUAACUACGUG
RNAcentral lists this ribosomal RNA (468 nucleotides) under uncultured bacterium. RNAcentral's name for it is "partial 16S ribosomal RNA". It matches the Rfam family "Bacterial small subunit ribosomal RNA", at positions 28 to 507 of the family's 1533-position model. The record is from RNAcentral.